UGAGGAAUAUUGGACAAUGGGCGCAAGCCUGAUCCAGCCAUGCCGCGUGCAGGAAGAAGCAUCUAUGGUGUGUAAACUGCUUUUGUACGGGAAGAAACACUCCUACGUGUAGGAGCUUGACGGUACCGUAAGAAUAAGGAUCUGCUAACUCCGUGCCAGCAGCCGCGGUAAUACGGAGGAUCCAAGCGUUAUCCGGAAUCAUUGGGUUUAAAGGGUCCGUAGGCGGUUUAAUAAGUCAGUGGUGAAAGCCCAUCGCUCAACGAUGGAACGGCCAUUGAUACUGCUAGACUUGAAUUAUUAGUGAGUAACUAGAAUAUGUAGUGUAGCGGUGAAAUGCUUAGAUAUUACAUGGAAUACCAAUUGCGAAGGCAGGUUACUACUUGUGGAUUGACGCUGAUGGACGAAAGCGUGGGGAGCGAACA
This 422-nucleotide ribosomal RNA is filed under the name uncultured bacterium. RNAcentral describes it as "bacterial SSU rRNA". It matches the Rfam family "Bacterial small subunit ribosomal RNA", at positions 355 to 774 of the family's 1533-position model. The record is from RNAcentral.